Brachypodium distachyon (stiff brome) is the source of this 618-nucleotide long non-coding RNA. RefSeq lists it as uncharacterized. NCBI's taxonomy places the organism in Eukaryota, Viridiplantae, Streptophyta, Magnoliopsida, Poales, Poaceae. The record is from RefSeq and is a predicted model, not a curated record. The transcript is spliced from 2 exons.
CCGUCACUCUCGCAAUCAGGGAAAGAAAAGGACAACAAGUGCUGUGUGACUCAUAUCAUAUCGGUGGUCACGAUACUACGAGCUGGAUUGGAUAUGGAUCUUGAUGAUCGAAAGCUCUGACCAGAUAAAUAGUGCAUUAUUCCGUCGGUGGUGGAAGGAGCCGCAGCAGCCGGAUGACGACGACGACGAGGAGACUGCAGGCCCGGCUCUUCCACUGGAUACCCCGCCGGUGAAAAAAGACAUUUAGACCCUGCUUGGAUUGGAUUGGAUUGCUGCAGGUGUUCUUUGCCAGGAGUAAAUCAGGAACUGGAAUUCUAACAAACAGGGCAACUUCAUCGCGUUUGUACAAUACCUGCUGCGCUGUUCUACCUCUAGUACUGCUACUCUGAACAGACAGAUGGAUGCAAUAAUCCUCCAAUGUUCAUCGAGUUCCAUUCUCGCAUUAUCUUCUUUCAUGUAAAAAUGUUCAUUCCAUUGCACGAUAUAUCCGCUUUGACACUUGACAAACGUAGUGCUACCAAUAAUACAGUUUUCCUCACACAAACCUGUUUUUAAAUCACAUCUUUUUUUUUCCGCCGACGGUAGGAACAAAACAUUACAGGAGCAAAGAGGAGUUAA